UUUUCUUCCAACUCCUGCCCACUCAUUAUUGUCUGAACCACACCUAGUAUUACCCUCAUAUCCACUAAAACUUCAAGCUUUACCAAUUUGUCACAAGCGAAGAUGGUAGCUCCCAACACCAAUGAGGUUCCAAACAAUUACGAUCGAAAAAGCGAAGUGAAAGCUUUUGAUGAGACAAGGGAAGGCGUUAAGGGUCUUGUUGAUGCCGGGAUAGCCGAGGUUCCUAGAAUUUUUCAUCAACCACCACAAUUGGACGAUCAGUACUCCAUCAACAAUACAAGCACUGACUCAGAAGCCACCCAGUUUAGCAUUCCGCUAAUAGACCUUGAAGACCAUGGUAAUCCAACUAAGCGCAAUGAGAUUGUUGCAAAAGUUGGAGAGGCAUCAGAGACUUGGGGCUUCUUUCAAAUAGUGAAUCAUGGGAUACCUGUAGGUGUUCUGGAGGCGAUAAAGGAUGGGGUACGUGGGUUUUAUGAGCAGGACACUCGAGUCAAGAAAGAGUUUUACACUCGUGAUCACUCUAAACCUUUGUUUUACAAUAGCAACUUUGAUCUUUAUAGUUCACUGGCAACGAAUUGGAGGGAUACUUUUAAGUGUUACAUGGCUCCAUAUCCUCCUAAGCCAGAAGACUUGCCAGAAGUAUGCAGAGACGUACUGAUCGAGUAUUCAAAGCGAGUAAUGGAGUUGGGGAAAUUGUUGUUCGAGUUGUUGUCGGAGGCCCUUGGGCUAAAGCCAAGCCACUUGAAUAGCAUAGAUUGUAGUAAGGGGCUACAGGUUUUUAGGCCAUUUACUAUCCUGCUUGUCCACAGCCAGAGUUAACUUUGGGCACAAGCAAGCACGCUGAUGAUUCCUUCCUUACGGUCCUUCUGCAAGAUCAUAUUGGUGGUCUGCAAGUUGUUGAUCGUCAAAAGAAGUGGAUAGAUGUACCCCCUGUGCCUGGGGCUUUAGUGGUGAACAUUGGAGAUCUUUUACAACUCAUAUCAAAUGAUAGAUUCAAAAGCGUAGAACACAGGGUAUUGGCGAACCGUGAAGGUCCAAGGAUAUCCAUUGCCAGCUUCUUUAGCACAGGUUUGCUACCAUUUACAAAUCUCUAUGGACCUAUUAAGGAGUUGGUAUCAGAAGACAACCCUCCAAAGUACAGGGAGACUACUGUGAGGGACUACGACACCCAUUUCUAUGACAAAGGCCUAGAUGGAACCUCUGCCUUAUCUCAUUUUAAGAUCCCAACUUAGACAUGGAGGAGCACAGACCGCAACGAACAAAUCCUGUCUACUAAAUAAUUUUGCAUGAAAAUAUAUAUUGGUUGUUUAAUCUGAAAGCGCUUUCGCACCACAAAAUUCUGGAUAUGCAUAUUAUUUUGUUUUCUGUUUGCAUAUGGUCUAAUAUACUUGUAGAAAGGGUUGGGCUUCUACCCAUGCAUCUCAGGUACAAACUUCCCCUCCUAUAAAUUAUUGUAAUAGUUUCGAA
Molecule: non-coding RNA, 1467 nt
Organism: Malus domestica (apple)
Lineage: Eukaryota; Viridiplantae; Streptophyta; Magnoliopsida; Rosales; Rosaceae
Source: RefSeq, a predicted model, not a curated record